Molecule: long non-coding RNA, 373 nt
Filed under: Brassica napus (rape)
Lineage: Eukaryota; Viridiplantae; Streptophyta; Magnoliopsida; Brassicales; Brassicaceae
Description: long non-coding RNA (BNAP_LNC017736)
Source: RNAcentral
UCAAAAAUCACAAAAUAGCACUUAAUGUUUUAUCAAAAGUCACAAACUUAGGGUUUAGAGUUAAAGGGUGGGGUUUAGGAUUUAGGGUUUAGGGUUUAGAAUUUAGGGUUUAAGGUUUAGAGUUUAGGGUUUAGGGUUUAGGGUUUAGGGUUUAGAGCUUAGGGUUUAGGGUUUAGGGUUUAGAGUUUAGGGUUUAGGGUUUAGAGUUGAUAAAUGAGGUUUUGGGGAUAAGAUUUCAAAUUUUGAAAAAUAAAAAAAUUAAAAUUUUCAAAGGAUAAACUUACAAAGGUGUUAUUUUGGUCAUUUUAGUUUUUGAGUGCUAUUUUUGUGAUAUAAACUUAGAAAUGUGCUAUUUUGGAGAUUUGCCUAUUUU